This is a long non-coding RNA of Bos indicus x Bos taurus (hybrid cattle), 434 nucleotides long. Lineage: Eukaryota; Metazoa; Chordata; Mammalia; Artiodactyla; Bovidae. The record is from Ensembl.
GUCUGAUUGGCUGCUCUGGGGCUGGGCCCACAGUGGCCAGAGGUCAGGUGCCUCCAGAACUGCAUGUGAAGGGCAGGGGGCCAGCCUCAGAGAGAGGAGAACCGAGGUGCUCUGAGCAGAAGAGGCUAUGCACUGAUUGGGCAGAGCAACAGGUGUUACCCUAGAGCCGUCAUGUGCUGUUAACAGAAAUGCCAUGUGCUCUCUCUUACAGGACUCCUCUCCGAAGACCCAGGCUGGCAGACAUUGUCACCAACCACGUGGGGAAUUGAAGCAAAGGCCUCUGAAACUGCAAAACCCACUGAAAUGGAUUUUGAGAAGAAUACCCAGGUGUCUGGACACCUGAGGAAUCCAUUUCCAAAAUGCCGAGCUGUUUCUCCAGCAUCGAGACUGCCUGCAGCCCUGCCAUGGCUUGUGAGCCCUGGGAGGAUCGGGAG